This 283-nucleotide unclassified non-coding RNA is filed under the name Hevea brasiliensis (rubber tree). The record is from RNAcentral. Lineage: Eukaryota; Viridiplantae; Streptophyta; Magnoliopsida; Malpighiales; Euphorbiaceae.
GCCAUUUUGGAAGGUGUCAGCUUGAAUAGAGAGGAAGUUAGCAGCCUUCAGCUUCUCCCUCCUUGGAAACUUCGGAGCAAUACUCUUAACUAUGGCUUUGGACCUCUUUGCUGUUGUUACUUUAUAUGUGAUUUCUUGUCAGUUAUAUCUGGCGGCCACUUUUAUAUGUUUGAUCCUCGUGAUCUGGCACUUGGUGUGUCUUCAAGUCAUACUCCCACAGCAAAAAUGUUUUCUCUGAUAGGUACAAAUUUGACCAAGCGAUUUUGUGAUCAAUUUAAUCCGA